GCAGAUUCACACUACAAGGAAUACUAAAGGACGUUCUCCACAUUGAAGGAAAAUGAUCUAAAGAGAAACAGAUCUGUAAGAAGAAAUGAAGAGCACUGGUAAAGCAGCACAUAAAUCAUACAUCAGUCAUCCAGUGAUACAAAGAGGUGGCCAAUUGUGUCUGAAGUAGUCACUUGUAAAGGAUCACAACCCAGGCAGUGUUGCUUUUCUGCAAACAGAAGGAAACAGAAGGCUCCAUGGUCCUUGAAGAUUAUCCAAGUUUUCCACUAGUUGUCAAGAUUUCUGUCCCAACCUCUUAGUCACCAUUUACAGCAAGAAGAGCCAGCAAGUGAAAAACUGUUAAUUUAUUGAUUCAAAGUUGUUUUUUUUCUUUUUAAAAAACAAUCCCCAAUACAUGCAGUUCAGGGUUAAGUAUCACAUUUGUAGCACAUUGUUGAGUCUCAAAACAAAAAUAUGCAUCACCUGUAUAAUCCCAUCACAUCUUUUUCCAGCCUCUACAAUACCUAGUUGGGGGUGUUUUCAUUUAUACAUCCACAUAGCUCAGAAGCAUGUUAUUAACGGUUGAUCUGGCCCGAUGCUUCUCCGCCACCUCCCCUGCCCUGGUCUCCACCUCGGGGUUAUUUUUUUCUAAAGGCAGGAUGUUACUCAGUCUUAAUUUAUUAAGAUCACUGACAAACUUUGGCUUCUUGUGUGCUCAUGUGGUCCCUGCUUUUGCUUUCGGAAGGGUUUAUAUUGAAACGACUGUGACUCUGAUCGGUUAUUAUCCCCUCAUUUUUUGUAGGAAAUAAGUUUGCUUGUUUCUGUGGGUGCUCACACAGUAACACAGGUUCCUAAAGUAACCAUUUAAUCUGAACUGGUAUUAAAGGAAACUGUUAACCAGGCUCUCUUAGAUCUAUUUCAGUUCAUAUAAAAAAACUCUUCCAAUUGUUGCUUGUGUCUCAAAGUAGUUCUGCUUCCAUCCUUAUCAACAGAGCACCUGGGAGAACCUAAGUCAUUUCCCUGAGUAGGCACAGACCACGAGCCCCGCGGCACCCAGCUCUCUCUGGGACUAAGCGCCUGACUCGAGAGCACCACCUUUCAGUCCACUGGGACCAAUCCAGUGGGCAGCGCCCUCCCCAGGGUACAUUCCAGAACAUAAACUUGGUACCCUCUAAUUUAUCCCCUCAAGAAGUUAAUUUCCUCCUCAAGAGCUACCUUUAGAUGGAUUUUCUUAUUGGUCCCUUUUCUUUUAACAGCCCUUCCCCUAGCCACUCUCUUCAAGUCCCCAAGGAUUACGAGUUUGUCUGUCUCCUCUAAUCUAUCAGUCUGAGAGCACCUUCCUCUCUGCAAGGGAACACAUUUGCUUUAAACCUUGUGAGUGCUGACAUGUUACAGAAUGUCUGGGAGGAGGCCUGGCUGAGUGACUGGUGUUUAAGUGCCUCAAUGAACGACAUCAGCGCUUCUCUAGUUGGUGAGAAGGCCCAGGAAAGCUUGGUCUGCGUCAUACACUCAAUAGCUUCUCCUACCCAGCCACCUACCCUGCCUACAGGGAUAGGAUGAAAGCAAGGCCAGCUGACAGCAUCCAGGGGAGAGUGAACUGCCACCACACCAGAGGUGCAAAUGUGACUCAGCACUUCAUGAGUUCUACUCUCACCAUGGGAUUUCUCAGCAGAAGCAAACCUUGCAGUCAGGCUCACUUGUAGCCAACAAAUGAUAUAGCCAUCUGGAUUUGGCAUAGGAACCUUUUGUUCUCACCAUACCAGGUCUAUGUUCUUGAACAUAGGCAGUACCUGAGAUGAUAGUAUAACACUACCCUGUUCCCCACAUUUUUUGCUUUUCUUUAGGAAAUAAUUAAGUCCUUAUCAUAGGCACUUUUAACCUGUUUAAGAUAAUGAAGCAAACAAAUGAAAAGUACUGAGAUGAGUUUAAGAAAGAAUAUGCUAACUGAAAAGGAUACUGGGUGCGUACAUUUACCAUGGUUUAGUCUAAAUAUUAGACACACAGACACACACACAGACACACACACAGACACACACACAGACACACACACAGACACACACACACCCCUUUUGGAACUCUCCAAGACCAUCUCCGAAUCUAGGUAAAUAGUCUUAAAAUUUCGGGGGAGCUAGGUUUGGAAACAAAAAUGGUUUUUGGAGACAGGAAAAGAGAUGGUCUGAAACUGGACUCACUUCAGUUUGGAAAGGAAUAGCCUAGGUGCCAAGACCAGACCCAGGAAGGGGUGAGCAUUUCAAGCCCAGUUAUGGUCUAAGUCUAAGGCAUGAAGAGAGGUAAAAGUCUAGGUGCUGGAAAAGCAAGCUGUGUGCUUCAAAGGAAGAAUGCCUGUGUCAAAGCUGCAGUUACAAAACCCCAGGACAAGGCAGGCAGGCGGUGUCUGCACCUACAUCACCGUCAGAGAGACAGGCAGAGGUCAAUCACCUGACUAUUCUCCUCCAGGUACUUUUAUUACCUUUGGGGGACCCAAGGGAAAGGAAUGGAGUUACCGCUUCACCAAGACCCUCCAGUAGGCACCUCUUGCCUGGUCCAGACAGGCAACUUAAAAAAAAAAAGGGAGGGCUGAGGAGUGGGGUGGGGUGAUAAAGGAGAUUGGAGGGGGAGCAGGAAAGACACGCAGUGGCACAUCUCCCUGAUGAUAACCAAUGCUUCAGGAUUGCCUAUAAGGGCAUAUUAGAAGGCUUUUGAUAAUCUCAAACACUGAGUUUUGCUGCCUGACAUAUCAAUACAGGUUUAGCCAAAGAGCUCACAUCUUGCUUUUGAUUUUCAGGUAGAACAAAUGUUUACAUUAGUAUACAGAAUGUGCAAUGCAAGCAGGCAGCAUUGGUAUGAGAACCUUAACUGAAUGCAUUCCUUGGCUUUGGGAUCUUAUUUAUUUUUUACUCUAUAAACUCAACUCUAUAAUAAGAGAAGAGUUUCAUUUGUAUUUUAAGUUCCCACAGACCAAACGACAAAAAUAGAAUCUACAUUUAGAGUAGGAUCUGCUACCAAUACCAAUAAGAUUUUAUUGGAAUAUGGAAUGUAAACAAAUGUUUCAAACAAACAUCUAACCUUAUAAAAAUGUAUGGCAUUAUUAAAUAGUUAAUAAAGAAAUCUUAAAGGGUGAUGUGGUAGACACCUCUAGUUCUAGCCUAGGUGUGUGAAGUCCCCACAGCUGUGGCAUGGCCCUGCAGCUGGGGUGAGGGGACUGCCUACAAACCAUGUUGCUCCUGAGUCCCCAAAAUGAAAUCAGCCCUAUUUUUGUUUAAACAAACUCUAGCUUUCUCUGCUAACAUGAAGGUUUGCAAAAUGGAUCCAACACUUGCUCCGGGAGCACCAUUUUCUUCCCCAAGCCCCUUGUAUAUUCCUCUGAGUUGCUUGAGUUUCAGAUGACCCUGCCCACACAACUCUAGUACCUGCAUGCAAGACAGACUUAUCUUUGCCAUCACAUAAAUGUAUCACAUAUCAGAACUUACAAAUGCAUAUUACCCUGAUUACAGUGGGAAACUGUGUCUCAUGGGGAUAAAAGGAGGUGGGAGAGAGAUAUUUUUUUCCAUAAGUCUUUCCUGAAAAAAUUCUAAUGGGAUGUUUUCCUCCCUCGCCUUGCCUGAAGACUGACUUUCCAGCUUUAGUUAUGGUUGUGAACAAAAAGGUCUCUGUUUCAGAGAGGUGCAUUAAAAUAGGCGCACACAUAGGGAUGUGCUGGGAAAUGGUGAAGUUCUCCUUACAAGGCUGCCAAAAAAAAAAAAAAAAAAAAAAAAGAAAAAGCAACAAAAAA
Molecule: long non-coding RNA, 3751 nt
Filed under: Homo sapiens (human)
Lineage: Eukaryota; Metazoa; Chordata; Mammalia; Primates; Hominidae
Description: HSALNT0386372
Source: RNAcentral